GUGCUCGCUCCGGCAGGACGUAUGUUAAAAUUGGAACGAUACGGAGAAGACUAGCAUGGCCGCUGCACGAGCCUGACGUGCAAAUUCCAUAUUCUUUUGAUCAUAAC
This is a small nuclear RNA of Tupaia belangeri (northern tree shrew), 107 nucleotides long. NCBI's taxonomy places the organism in Eukaryota, Metazoa, Chordata, Mammalia, Scandentia, Tupaiidae. The record is from Ensembl.